RNAcentral lists this ribosomal RNA (393 nucleotides) under uncultured bacterium. Its description in RNAcentral is "bacterial SSU rRNA". It matches the Rfam family "Bacterial small subunit ribosomal RNA", at positions 32 to 410 of the family's 1533-position model. The record is from RNAcentral.
AAUCAACGCUGGCGGCGUGCCUCAGACAUGCAAGUCGAACGGCGAAAGUUCCCUUCGGGGAGCGAGUAGAGUGGCGGCACGGGUGAGUAACACGUAGGUAAUCUACCCUCGAGUGGGGGAAUAACACCGGGAAACCGGUGCUAAUACCGCAUACGAUCACGAUGUCUGCGGAUGACGUGAUGAAAGGAGCAAUUCGCUCCAGGAGGAGCCCGCGGCUGGAUUAGCUAGUUGGUGAGGUAAUGGCUCACCAAGGCUUCGGAUCAGUAUCCGGUCUGAGAGGACGGUCGGGACACACUGGAACUGAGACACGGUCCAGGACUCCUACGGGAGGCAGCAGUGGGGAAUUUUUCGCAAUGGGGGCAACCCUGACGAAGCAACGCCGCGUGGAUGAUG